CUCUCCGUGUCUCUCUCGCAGCCGCUGCUAAAGUACCCGUCGUGCACGUCACCUUCGAGCUACCACCGUAUUGACUGCCUUUCAUAGCCGAGUCAGGCGAGGGAGGGAGGGAGGGAGGGAGGGAGGGGUGGGUGCAGCACUAAAACGGGGCACCACCUCUCCGUUCGUCCCCUAAAGCGUCGGCGCGGGUUCGAGAUCGUCUGCGAGAGUCGUUCACAAAUCUGCCUUCUUCGUGUCUGUGAUGGAUGCCCGUCAUCGACAGUGUGUCGGCUUCCUUUCCUCUCCCCCGGUCAAGUGAGUCUGUGUGUGUUUGACGCCUGCUACAUAUUUUUUAGUGGCAAAUUUUUUUUCGUUUCUGCAACGCUCGUUUCUGUGGCCAUCUCGCACUGGGCGGCGUUGUAGGUCGCUGCACCAGGUUAAGCUCAUCACCACAUCUCAUCGCCGGUGCCCGCGCUGAUAUGUUCGCGCCGAUGCUUUUGCAGGACAGUAAGGCAAGGCGGACUCGCGGCAACGCGGACGAGUCUACCGAGAAGAAUGUCAUCAUUCGUGCGGCGGACUCCCUGGCAUACCGCCGCAGCGUGCAGCUCUUCUUCGUGAACGAGGAUGGCCAAUUUCUCAUCGGUUGCCCCGUCGGUGAGUCGAACAGGUAUUACCGACAAACCGUGCAGGGCGGGAGUGUGGAGGGCGAGACGCCGAUGCAGACGGCGGCCAACGAGGCAUGGGAGGAGAUCGGACUUGACCUGGCCAAGGACGCGACCUUCCUGUUGGAGGUGCUUCCGCCCCCCACCUCUCUUUCAGGCAGCUGUGACUCGGCAGGAAUACUGGCCGUGCCGCAGGAUAACAACGGCGUGCUGAACAGCAGCGGGGAGAUCGUCUCUGAGUACCGGGCAACAUUUCGAUACCGCACAAAGCAGUGGCGCAAGAAGGGUAUCCAUGGUCAGGAAAUGUACCCGUUUCUGUUUUUUCUGCCGCGGGAUCACAUCAGCCAACUCGACGUGCAGGCGAGGAAGCGUGGGGUGCGCCAAGAGUUCAAGCUGCUGUACUGGGGACCUCUCUGUGUCCUGGAGGAUCAGGCGCCGCCCGUGAAGAAGCAGGUCAUGUCAGUGAUUUGCCCCGCUGUGGCGGCAGCGGCUCUGCCGCUUCUGCAAUGCUGGAGAUACCCGCUGGACGGCAUCGCCGCAUACGUAUCGUAGCGUUUGUUUGUAGAUGCUGCCGCGAAAGGCAACCACAUGGCUAACUUGACAAAAAGGCCCGAUUUCAGCCCACUUUACUUUUUCUUUGGUGGUGGUUGAGUGGAGGGGAGGGCGGCUGUUCGCUCAUAGCGGAGACCGUAAACGUGAGAGCGUGUGUGCUCUCUCACUACUUGGGUGCGUCAUUUCUACUCUCCCCAAGCAUACGCGGCAAUGUCCUGCAGGGUGGCGGUGGGCAUAGUAGAUACUCGGCGCUCGACCUAUGGAGCACGUUGUACUCCCCCCAACCUUGAGGUAUGCACCUUAUAUACACCAUGCUUCUCUUUCCCCGUCCUUCGAGUCUAUCCAUGUAACGUCGAGUGCUCAAAAUGAGCACCGACACGCACAAUACAUCAACUGUGUACCAG
RNAcentral lists this unclassified non-coding RNA (1597 nucleotides) under Leishmania donovani. RNAcentral describes it as "gene:LdHU3.32.2040(CDS-product:NUDIX_hydrolase_di hydroneopterin_triphosphate_pyrophosphohydrolase/hydrolase_ putative)". Lineage: Eukaryota; Euglenozoa; Kinetoplastea; Trypanosomatida; Trypanosomatidae. The record is from RNAcentral.